RNAcentral lists this ribosomal RNA (411 nucleotides) under Triticum aestivum (bread wheat). RNAcentral's name for it is "partial small subunit ribosomal RNA". Lineage: Eukaryota; Viridiplantae; Streptophyta; Magnoliopsida; Poales; Poaceae. The record is from RNAcentral.
AUGGCCACGCCAGUGCUGCCGCCUGGAGUCGCCUUGGGCAUCACCUCGAGUGACCUCCAUCGCCGCGCCGAGUCAACUCCACCACUGCUGCCAGGAAUCCCGUCCCCGACGAGGUGCAAUGACAGAGAUCAUCCAGUGGGAUGUUCUACUGCAUCUGAAUUUGACAAAUUUAAUCCUGCCAUUAUAUUCUUCCCUUCACUGCUCAAGUUAACACCCCUCCUCGCAUUUAUUGGCCCAUAUGUUCAAAUAUACCAUGAAGGGAAGAUCUGCCUCACUGUGCACUUCAGGCGCGUGCACACUAGCGAUGGUAUAGGAUUGGCUUCCUGGUGGAAUCAGGUGUACAUGGAGGAGGUGAAGGCGACUACAGAGGAGCUUGCCGUAGCUGCUCACCUGCUCCGGGAAUCCUCCUGA